GCCGGGUGCAGUGGCGCGCGCCUGUAAUCCAAGCUGCUGGGAGGCUGAGGCUGGCGGAUCGCUUGAGUUCAGGGGUUCUGGGCUGCAGUGGACUAUGUCGAUCGGGUGUCCGUGCUAAGUUCGGUAUCGAUAUGGUGCUCCUGGGGGAGCUCGGGACCACCAGGUCGUCUAAGGAGGGGUGAACCGGCCCAGGUCGGAGACGGAGCAGGUCAAAGCCCCCGUGCCGAUCAGUAGUGGGGUCGCACCUGUGAAUAGACACUGCAGUGCAGCCUGAGCGAUACAGUGAAACUCAGUCUAUU
Molecule: unclassified non-coding RNA, 299 nt
Organism: Cyprinus carpio carpio
Lineage: Eukaryota; Metazoa; Chordata; Actinopteri; Cypriniformes; Cyprinidae
Rfam family: Metazoan signal recognition particle RNA
About the family: The signal recognition particle (SRP) is a universally conserved ribonucleoprotein.
Source: Ensembl